This is a long non-coding RNA of Oncorhynchus tshawytscha (Chinook salmon), 2023 nucleotides long. NCBI's taxonomy places the organism in Eukaryota, Metazoa, Chordata, Actinopteri, Salmoniformes, Salmonidae. The record is from Ensembl.
UAGUGGGGUGUACAGGGUUAAUAACCCCUGGGGGGGGGUAGUGGGAUGUACAGGGUUAAUAAUGUUCACACACGACAGGCAGGUCUGAUUUCAUUCACAUGUUUAAUUCAUUAAUGCUCUGGGUGAAAACUAAGAAACCAAGGAACAGACAGAAAAGUCCAACAACAACAACAACAACAUUGUUUAAAAGAAGGCUUCAAGGCACCGUUCCCCGGUAGCAGAGAUCACAUUAUCUUUAAAACGUCACACUACGGGUUCCCGGAUCCCGGUGCGUACUGAAAGACAUCCUGCAUCACGUCCUCUUCACCACGCAACGGCCCAGAGUCGUGUCCUACGUCAGGGGUACGGUGUCCUUCGAGAUGAGCCCGUAGCUUCUGGACAGAGUCGAUAUGAAGUAAGUAGGGUUUAAGUCACAAAUAGCACCUUGUGCACUACUCUUGACCGGAGCGGCUCUGGUAGGGCACUAAAUAGGGCAGGGGGGGGGUCAAACUGAUUCCAAGCAGGGCCCUAGUGACCGCUGGCUUUUCCCCUUUCAAUUAAAGACCUAGACAACCAGGUGAGGGGGAGUUCCUUACUAAUUAGUGACCUUUUUAAUUCAAUUAAAUCGGGAACGAAAACCACAGACACUCGACCCCUCCAGUGGAAUGAGUUUGACACUAUGGGGGGGGGGUGUAUGUUGUCAUCGGGGCCGCGUAGGUCCAGCUCCAGUCUGCUGGUUGAGCCGUUAGAUCGUGAGGUAUGUUGUUUUGGGGGGGGGAUCGUGGUGUUGCUUCUUUAAUGCAGCCGACACACAUUACAAAAUGGCUGCCGUGGCAUACUAAAAACCUAGUUCAGUUCUGCCACCUCCCACACUGAACUGUCCCUCCCUCAUGGAUCUAACGUGGACUAGUGUUAGGUAAUAUGGUGAAAGGUGAAACUCCCUCCCAAGCUGAAGGUGUUACUCCCUCCCUCCCAAGCUGAAGGUGAAACUCCCUCCCUCCCAAGCUGAUGGUGAAACUCCCUCCCUCCCAAGCUGAAACUCCCUCCCAAGCUGAAGGUGAAACUCCCUCCCAAGCUGAAGUUGAAACUCCCUCCCAAGCUGAAAGUGAAACUCCCUCCCUCCCAAGCUGAAGGUGAAACUCCCUCCCAAGCUGAAGUUGAAACUCCCUCCCAAGCUGAAAGUGAAACUCCCUCCCUCCCAAGCUGAAGGUGAAACUCCCUCCCAAGCUGAAGGUGAAACUCCCUCCCUCCCAAGCUGAAGGUGAAACUCCCUCCCUCCCAAGCUGAAGGUGAAACUCCCUCAACUCCCAAGCUGAUGGUGAAACUCCCUCCCAAGCUGAAGGUGAAACUCCCUCCCUCCCAAGCUGAAGGUGAAACUCCCUCCCAAGCUGAAGGCGAAACUCCCUCCUUCCCAAGCUGAUGGUGAAACUCCCUCCCAAGCUGAAGGUGAAACUCCCUCCCUUGCAAGCUGAAGGUGAAACUCCCUCCCUCGCAAGCUGAAGGUGAAACUCCCUCCCUCGCAAGCUGAAGGUGAAACUCCCUCCCUCGCAAGCUGAAGGUGAAACACCCUCCCUCCCAAGCUGAAGGUGAAACUCCCUCCCAAGCUGAUGGUGAAACUCCCUCCCAAGCUGAAGGUGAAACUCCCUCCCAAGCUGAAGGUGAAACUCCCUCCCUCCCAAGCUGAAGGUGAAACUCCCUUCCUCCCAAGCUGAAGGUGAAACUCCCUCCCUCCCAAGCUGAAGGUGAAACUCCCUCCCUCCCAAGCUGAUGGUGAAACUCCCUCCCAAGCUGAAGGUGAAACUCCCUCCUUCCCAAGCUGAAAGUGAAACUCCCUCCUUCCCAAGCUGAUGGUGAAACUCCCUCCCAAGCUGAAGGUGAAACUCCCUUCCUCCCAAGCUGAAGGUGAAACUCCCUUCCUCCCAAGCUGAAGGUGAAACUCCCUCCCUCCCAAGCUGAAGGUGAAACUCCCUUCCUCCCAAGCUGAUGGUGAAACUCCCUCCCAAGCUGAAGGUGAAACUCCCUCCCUCCCAAGCUGAAGGUGAAA